GCAGAGGAAGCUCAUCUGUGGGGCCCCUGGGAAGGUCUGAGACUUGCCCUAGUGGGAAGGUGAGUGCCCAGGUGGGAAGGUGAGUUCCCGAGAGCAGGGCUCCAUGCAUGGGCAGACUGCACAUCAGAUGCCUCUCUUGCAGGAGCUUGAAGAGAUGCACAUCCAGCACAGAGCCAGUUCAAUGACUGAGGACCUCAUAUUCCAUUUCAAACAAUCAUGAAUUUCCAUCUUGU
Mesocricetus auratus (golden hamster) is the source of this 233-nucleotide ribozyme. It matches the Rfam family "Nuclear RNase P". From Rfam's summary of the family: Ribonuclease P (RNase P) is a ubiquitous endoribonuclease, found in archaea, bacteria and eukarya as well as chloroplasts and mitochondria. Its best characterised activity is the generation of mature 5'-ends of tRNAs by cleaving the 5'-leader elements of precursor-tRNAs. NCBI's taxonomy places the organism in Eukaryota, Metazoa, Chordata, Mammalia, Rodentia, Cricetidae. The record is from Ensembl.